RNAcentral lists this ribosomal RNA (253 nucleotides) under uncultured bacterium. Its description in RNAcentral is "partial 16S ribosomal RNA". It matches the Rfam family "Bacterial small subunit ribosomal RNA", at positions 524 to 776 of the family's 1533-position model. The record is from RNAcentral.
UACGGGGGGGGCAAGCGUUGUUCGGAGUUACUGGGCGUAAAGGGCUCGUAGGCGGCCAACUAAGUCAGACGUGAAAUCCCCAGGCUCAACCUGGGAACUGCGUCUGAUACUGGUUGGCUUGAAUCCGGGAGAGGGAUGCAGAAUUCCAGGUGUAGCGGUGAAAUGCGUAGAUAUCUGGAGGAAUACCGGUGGCGAAGGCGGCAUCCUGGACCGGCAUUGACGCUGAGGAGCGAAAGCCAGGGGAGCAAACGGG